Molecule: long non-coding RNA, 907 nt
Organism: Varroa destructor (honeybee mite)
Lineage: Eukaryota; Metazoa; Arthropoda; Arachnida; Mesostigmata; Varroidae
Source: RefSeq, a predicted model, not a curated record
ACCUUUCGAUGUCAUUGCCACGCGAGCUACUUUAAAAACCCGGCGACGUCAUGCACAACCUGGCUGCUGGAUUCAGCACGUAAAACGAUGCGACCUUUUCCUGCACCGUUACACGAAACACGGCUUCAAAGCAUUUAAACAGCUGUACAGCGCAUGUAGCGUGCUAAAUUCGCGGAUCUUCAAUGGCAGUUAGGAGAUCAGACUCUCUACACGAGCACAAAAAAUGCCGAGUCUGAGCCGGCUCAGAAAGUAAUAAUAAUCUGGACCUAAUCGCUCGAGCACACGCACCUCCACGCGUCUGCUUGGCGUUGGACGCCUAACUGACUUCUACUGGGGAGAAUAACGAGGCGCGUCGCUGCCCUGAACCCCUUCGGGGAAAUAUUAAUACUACGAAAUGGACCGCGGGCUACGUUUUGGCAAUGGAAAGCUGUACUUACGUGACAACUAUCAUCCAUGGAUUAUUUAUGUGCAUGUGAAACUAAAAAAGAAUCGAAUGGUUCGCGGCGUCCCGUUGUCUGAACAGAAAGCCUUUCACAUUACCUCUUGCCCUGACAAGGGGACCUUUAUCGUCCAAUUCAUACUCAGCCUCGAACUGUACGGCAGAAGAAAUUGUCGUAGUGUGUCAGGCUUAUCUGUGGGUAGACUUGUCUAAUCAAAACGUGCGUUUGAAAAAAAAGCAAGCCAACGAUCAGUGGGCAUUGUUGACAUAUAUUUUGAAGAUAUAUUGUACCAUCUACGAUCAGACCAACGCUGCAAGUUUUGAUUUUUAACUUUGCCCUCUUUCAACUCUAAUUAAAAAAGCGAGAAUCAUAAUCUAUAAGUUCUAUAUUAAUCAGCCAAAGUGUUUAAAUAGGCAAUUGAAUUGCGUCGUGAGAUCAGCUUAAGGUUUGUGAUUUCGUAUUUCUAC